This 90-nucleotide ribosomal RNA is filed under the name Deltaproteobacteria bacterium. Lineage: Bacteria; Pseudomonadati; Myxococcota; Myxococcia. The record is from RNAcentral.
CCCGAUCCCAUCCCGAACUCGGAAGUUAAGCCCUCCAGGGCCGAUGGUACUGCACGGGAUACUGUGUGGGAGAGUAGGUCGCUGCCAAGA